This is a long non-coding RNA of Oreochromis niloticus (Nile tilapia), 1818 nucleotides long. RefSeq lists it as uncharacterized. The record is from RefSeq and is a predicted model, not a curated record. NCBI's taxonomy places the organism in Eukaryota, Metazoa, Chordata, Actinopteri, Cichliformes, Cichlidae. The transcript has 4 exons.
CAUGCUGAGCUCAAAUGUUCUAAUUUAAUUAAAUUUUUUUGUUUUGCUUUACUUCUAUUCAUUUUUUAAAAUUUAACAAACCUAUUAUGGCAAUAAUGCGCUUUCCCAUGACUAGAAUUUUCCUUUUUACUGUCUUAAAGUCAGAGGUGGGAAAAAACGAAGUACAAAUACUCUGUUACUGUACUUAACUACAAUUUUCAUGCAUCUGUACUUGAGUAUUGUUUUCUGACUACUUUUUACCUUUACCCACCUACAUUUCUAAACAAAUAUCUGUACUUUUGACUUACAUUUUCAAAACAGCCUCGUUACUUUUGCUUUAAUGCAUUUGGGUCGAGUUAUUAUUUUAUCAUUGCGAGCCUUCAAACAUCAAACAGAUUUGAGCCUAAACAGAAAGACAUGACAGGCAGUCCUGUUCUCCCAUAAAGAGAGAUAACGUGUGCAAAAGUCAGGGGUUAAAAGUGGAAUGGUGUUUUGUUUUUUAACCUGGAGGAGCGAGCUUAAAGGGAGUAACAUUUUUUUAAGUGGCAGGUCAUUUCAAAUGCAGCGUUUUAUCAGCUCAACAAACAUCAGCAAACACACAAACUGUUCCUGUGCAAUUUGACACAGCUAAAAGUCCAGCUGCUGUAUUUCACAGGGAGAGAAACGAAAGAGAGCUAGCUUUACUCAGAGAUGGAGAAAGAUAAGAAAGACAGGACAGUAGAGGAAGAAGAGAGGUUAGAUUUAAAGGUAAGGACUGCUCAGUGGGAUCUGAUAGACUGGAAAUGUGAAGCUUACAUGUGUUGGGGUGUUGCUUGCUUGGAUUCCAGUUUCCUGCACUCUGCAAAUAACGAGCUCCUUUCACAGACUACAUGCAACACUUAUUUGCACAGUAAAUUCAGCUAUUCUGACUGAGAACCUAGCUAUUUUCAAAAUUAAGUGACUAGAAUUAAUGGUACCCUUUCCCUUGAAAAUGAAAAACAAAAUGUUAUUUUGUCAGACAAGAGUAAUUGGCCUCCACUAUUCUGGAUCUAACAUUAUUAUUGUGACCAGGUUUGCAACAACAGGCCAGAAUCUGCAGGUUAAUUAGCCUGCACAUCCUGCUCCAGCACCAAGUGCUUCUUUUCAUUGAGCCAAUGAGAAUAUUGAGUAAAGGUUUUAACCUAAGAGCGGGGCUUGUCCAGGACUGGGAUCCGAUACCUCUCGCAACUGAAUGAAUCAUUCCACCAGUGAUUAAAAAAUAAACAAACCUAUCUAAAUAUAAAAAUACCCUACAUUGUAUCAAUGAUUCAGGCGGGUGGUGGUAUAAUGGUCUGGGGAAUAUUUUCCUGGCACAAUGUGCCAUUUAGUACCAAAUGAGCAUUAUUUAUAUGCUAGCUAUAGGCUGGUCCCAGCAGAACAAUAUGCCAUUUCAUUAAAUUCUAAUCAUCUCAAACUGGUUUAUUGAACAUGACAGAGAGUUCACUGCUCUCAAAUUAACUCGACAGGCGCUAGAUCUCAAUUUAAUAGAGCACCUUUGAGAUGUGGUGGAACAAGAAAAAAACAUCAUGAAUGUGCAGCAGACAAAUCUGCAUCAACUGGACCCAAAUCUAAGAAAUGUUUCCAACAUCAUUGAUGCCACAAAUAUUUAAGCCAGCUCUAUAGGCAAAAAGGGAUCCGGCACAAUACUAGCAAGGUGUGCAUAGCAAAGUAUCCAGUGAGCUUAUGCUUAGUCCUGGCUUUUUUUUUCCAGAGUCUGUCUUUGCCCUCUGAUUUCCCCCAUCCCCUUCCUUGCUAAUGUCUUAAGCUCCUUUGGAAUUUAGUUUUGAAAUUGGCUCUUUGCUUUAACAAUUGUUGUUUGAA